This 409-nucleotide ribosomal RNA is filed under the name Actinomycetes bacterium. RNAcentral's name for it is "Actinobacteria bacterium partial 16S ribosomal RNA". It matches the Rfam family "Bacterial small subunit ribosomal RNA", at positions 355 to 776 of the family's 1533-position model. The record is from RNAcentral. Lineage: Bacteria; Bacillati; Actinomycetota; Actinomycetes.
UGGGGAAUAUUGCACAAUGGGCGGAAGCCUGAUGCAGCGACGCCGCGUGGGGGAUGAAGGCCUUCGGGUUGUAAACUCCUUUCGACAGGGACGAAGCUUUUGUGACGGUACCUGUAUAAGAAGCACCGGCUAACUACGUGCCAGCAGCCGCGGUAAUACGUAGGGUGCGAGCGUUGUCCGGAAUUACUGGGCGUAAAGAGCUCGUAGGUGGUUUGUCGCGUCGUCUGUGAAAUUCCGGGGCUUAACUCCGGGCGUGCAGUCGAUACGGGCUGACUUGAGUGCUGUAGGGGGGGCUGGAAUUCCUGGUGUAGCGGUGGAAUGCGCAGAUAUCAGGAGGAACACCGAUGGCGAAGGCAGGUCUCUGGGCAGUAACUGACGCUGAGGAGCGAAAGCAUGGGUAGCGAACAGG